Molecule: ribosomal RNA, 497 nt
Filed under: uncultured bacterium
Lineage: Bacteria
Description: partial 16S ribosomal RNA
Rfam family: Bacterial small subunit ribosomal RNA
Source: RNAcentral
GAUGAACGCUGGCGGCGUGCCUAAUACAUGCAAGUCGAGCGAACAGACGAGGAGCUUGCUCCUCUGACGUUAGCGGCGGACGGGUGAGUAACACGUGGAUAACCUACCUAUAAGACUGGGAUAACUUCGGGAAACCGGAGCUAAUACCGGAUAAUAUAUUGAACCGCAUGGUUCAAUAGUGAAAGACGGUUUUGCUGUUACUUAUAGAUGGAUCAGCGACGAAUUAGCUAGUUGGUAAGGUAACGGCUUACCAAGGCAACGAUGCGUAGCCGACCUGAGAGGGUGAUCGGCCACACUGGAACUGAGACACGGUCCAGGCUCCUACGGGAGGCAGCAGUAGGGAAUCUUCCGCAAUGGGCGAAAGCCUGACGUAGCAACGCCGCGUGAGUGAUGAAGGUCUUCGGAUCGUAAAACUCUGUUAUUAGGGAAGAACAAAUGUGUAAGUAACGAUGCACGUCUUGACGGUACCUAAUCAGAAAGCCACGGCUAACUACGUG